Molecule: long non-coding RNA, 417 nt
Filed under: Anas platyrhynchos (mallard)
Lineage: Eukaryota; Metazoa; Chordata; Aves; Anseriformes; Anatidae
Description: lncRNA (ENSAPLG00020001186.1)
Source: RNAcentral
CUGAAUACUUUGGAGAUUUCUGCAUAUUUUAAUAUAAAUAGGCACUGCAGCCACUGGGAAUGGACCUGGAGGGCUGUGGCUUUAGUGGGGGCCCCUGGACUGCACGCUGCGUGCAGUUGGCAUUCUUCACCUGUGCUUCUGAGUUACCUCUUCCAGUUCUGUUUUGUACAAAAGGAAUCCAGUUCGCACACCUGGGGCCUGCUCUGUGAUACAAAGUGCAGCAUGCUUACGAUGUUUAGUCACUGGACUGGCUCUCCUCGUGCUCUGCAGCACAGUUACAUUCCUUUCUUGCUGUGGCUCUUGGUCAUCCCAUCCAGCACAUCCAAGGAGGCUGCCACAGAUACAGUGAUCAGGGAAGAGACUGUCCUCUUGCUGCUCUCGCUCUGUGGUGUAUCCAUCUGUAGACAGCCUGGCUAA